CUGGCGGCAGGCCUACACAUGCAAGUCGAGCGGUAACAUUUCUAGCUUGCUAGAAGAUGACGAGCGGCGGACGGGUGAGUAAUGCUUGGGAACAUGCCUUGAGGUGGGGGACAACAGUUGGAAACGACUGCUAAUACCGCAUAAUGUCUACGGACCAAAGGGGGCUUCGGCUCUCGCCUUUAGAUUGGCCCAAGUGGGAUUAGCUAGUUGGUGAGGUAAUGGCUCACCAAGGCAACGAUCCCUAGCUGGUUUGAGAGGAUGAUCAGCCACACUGGGACUGAGACACGGCCCAGACUCCUACGGGAGGCAGCAGUGGGGAAUAUUGCACAAUGGGCGCAAGCCUGAUGCAGCCAUGCCGCGUGUGUGAAGAAGGCCUUCGGGUUGUAAAGCACUUUCAGUCAGGANGAAAGGUUA
Molecule: ribosomal RNA, 414 nt
Filed under: uncultured gamma proteobacterium NAC60-6
Lineage: Bacteria; Pseudomonadati; Pseudomonadota; Gammaproteobacteria
Description: bacterial SSU rRNA
Rfam family: Bacterial small subunit ribosomal RNA
Source: RNAcentral